CCUACGGGGGGCUGCAGUGGGGAAUAUUGCACAAUGGGCGCAAGCCUGAUGCAGCCAUGCCGCGUGUGUGAAGAAGGCCUUCGGGUUGUAAAGCACUUUCAGCGGGGAGGAAGGCGGUGAGGUUAAUAACCUCAUCGAUUGACGUUACCCACAGAAGAAGCACCGGCUAACUCCGUGCCAGCAGCCGCGGUAAUACGGAGGGUGCAAGCGUUAAUCGGAAUUACUGGGCGUAAAGCGCACGCAGGCGGUCUGUCAAGUCGGAUGUGAAAUCCCCGGGCUCAACCUGGGAACUGCAUUCGAAACUGGCAGGCUAGAGUCUUGUAGAGGGGGGUAGAAUUCCAGGUGUAGCGGUGAAAUGCGUAGAGAUCUGGAGGAAUACCGGUGGCGAAGGCGGCCCCCUGGACAAAGACUGACGCUCAGGUGCGAAAGCGUGGGGAGCAAACAGGAUUAGAUACCCCAGUAGUC
Molecule: ribosomal RNA, 465 nt
Filed under: uncultured Klebsiella sp.
Lineage: Bacteria; Pseudomonadati; Pseudomonadota; Gammaproteobacteria; Enterobacterales; Enterobacteriaceae
Description: bacterial SSU rRNA
Rfam family: Bacterial small subunit ribosomal RNA
Source: RNAcentral